RNAcentral lists this ribosomal RNA (2929 nucleotides) under Bacillus thuringiensis F14-1. Its description in RNAcentral is "23S ribosomal RNA". It matches the Rfam family "Bacterial large subunit ribosomal RNA". The record is from RNAcentral. Lineage: Bacteria; Bacillati; Bacillota; Bacilli; Caryophanales; Bacillaceae.
UUUGGUUAAGUUAGAAAGGGCGCACGGUGGAUGCCUUGACACUAGGAGUCGAUGAAGGACGGGACUAACGCCGAUAUGCUUCGGGGAGCUGUAAGUAAGCUUUGAUCCGAAGAUUUCCGAAUGGGGAAACCCACCAUACGUAAUGGUAUGGUAUCCUUAUCUGAAUACAUAGGGUAAGGAAGACAGACCCAGGGAACUGAAACAUCUAAGUACCUGGAGGAAGAGAAAGCAAAUGCGAUUUCCUGAGUAGCGGCGAGCGAAACGGAACAUAGCCCAAACCAAGAGGCUUGCCUCUUGGGGUUGUAGGACAUUCUAUACGGAGUUACAAAGGAACGAGGUAGAYGAAGCGACCUGGAAAGGUCCGUCGUAGAGGGUAACAACCCCGUAGUCGAAACUUCGUUCUCUCUUGAAUGYAUCCUGAGUACGGCGGAACACGUGAAAUUCCGUCGGAAUCUGGGAGGACCAUCUCCCAAGGCUAAAUACUCCCUAGUGAUCGAUAGUGAACCAGUACCGUGAGGGAAAGGUGAAAAGCACCCCGGAAGGGGAGUGAAAGAGAUCCUGAAACCGUGUGCCUACAAAUAGUCAGAGCCCGUUAACGGGUGAUGGCGUGCCUUUUGUAGAAUGAACCGGCGAGUUACGAUCCCGUGCGAGGUUAAGCUGAAGAGGCGGAGCCGCAGCGAAAGCGAGUCUGAAUAGGGCGUUUAGUACGUGGUCGUAGACCCGAAACCAGGUGAUCUACCCAUGUCCAGGGUGAAGUUCAGGUAACACUGAAUGGAGGCCCGAACCCACGCACGUUGAAAAGUGCGGGGAUGAGGUGUGGGUAGCGGAGAAAUUCCAAUCGAACCUGGAGAUAGCUGGUUCUCCCCGAAAUAGCUUUAGGGCUAGCCUUAAGUGUAAGAGUCUUGGAGGUAGAGCACUGAUUGGACUAGGGGUCCUCAUCGGAUUACCGAAUUCAGUCAAACUCCGAAUGCCAAUGACUUAUCCUUAGGAGUCAGACUGCGAGUGAUAAGAUCCGUAGUCAAAAGGGAAACAGCCCAGACCGCCAGCUAAGGUCCCAAAGUGUGUAUUAAGUGGAAAAGGAUGUGGAGUUGCUUAGACAACUAGGAUGUUGGCUUAGAAGCAGCCACCAUUUAAAGAGUGCGUAAUAGCUCACUAGUCGAGUGACUCUGCGCCGAAAAUGUACCGGGGCUAAAUACACCACCGAAGCUGCGGAUUGAUACCAAUGGUAUCAGUGGUAGGGGAGCGUUCUAAGGACAGUGAAGUCAGACCGGAAGGACUGGUGGAGUGCUUAGAAGUGAGAAUGCCGGUAUGAGUAGCGAAAGACGGGUGAGAAUCCCGUCCACCGAAUGCCUAAGGUUUCCUGAGGAAGGCUCGUCCGCUCAGGGUUAGUCAGGACCUAAGCCGAGGCCGACAGGCGUAGGCGAUGGACAACAGGUUGAUAUUCCUGUACCACCUCUUUAUCGUUUGAGCAAUGGAGGGACGCAGAAGGAUAGAAGAAGCGUGCGAUUGGUUGUGCACGUCCAAGCAGUUAGGCUGAUAAGUAGGCAAAUCCGCUUAUCGUGAAGGCUGAGCUGUGAUGGGGAAGCUCCUUAUGGAGCGAAGUCUUUGAUUCCCCGCUGCCAAGAAAAGCUUCUAGCGAGAUAAAAGGUGCCUGUACCGCAAACCGACACAGGUAGGCGAGGAGAGAAUCCUAAGGUGUGCGAGAGAACUCUGGUUAAGGAACUCGGCAAAAUGACCCCGUAACUUCGGGAGAAGGGGUGCUUUCUUAACGGAAAGCCGCAGUGAAUAGGCCCAAGCGACUGUUUAGCAAAAACACAGCUCUCUGCGAAGCCGUAAGGCGAAGUAUAGGGGGUGACACCUGCCCGGUGCUGGAAGGUUAAGGAGAGGGGUUAGCGUAAGCGAAGCUCUGAACUGAAGCCCCAGUAAACGGCGGCCGUAACUAUAACGGUCCUAAGGUAGCGAAAUUCCUUGUCGGGUAAGUUCCGACCCGCACGAAAGGUGUAACGAUUUGGGCACUGUCUCAACCAGAGACUCGGUGAAAUUAUAGUACCUGUGAAGAUGCAGGUUACCCGCGACAGGACGGAAAGACCCCGUGGAGCUUUACUGUAGCCUGAUAUUGAAUUUUGGUACAGUUUGUACAGGAUAGGCGGGAGCCAUUGAAACCGGAGCGCUAGCUUCGGUGGAGGCGCUGGUGGGAUACCGCCCUGACUGUAUUGAAAUUCUAACCUACGGGUCUUAUCGACCCGGGAGACAGUGUCAGGUGGGCAGUUUGACUGGGGCGGUCGCCUCCUAAAGUGUAACGGAGGCGCCCAAAGGUUCCCUCAGAAUGGUUGGAAAUCAUUCGUAGAGUGCAAAGGCAUAAGGGAGCUUGACUGCGAGACCUACAAGUCGAGCAGGGACGAAAGUCGGGCUUAGUGAUCCGGUGGUUCCGCAUGGAAGGGCCAUCGCUCAACGGAUAAAAGCUACCCCGGGGAUAACAGGCUUAUCUCCCCCAAGAGUCCACAUCGACGGGGAGGUUUGGCACCUCGAUGUCGGCUCAUCGCAUCCUGGGGCUGUAGUCGGUCCCAAGGGUUGGGCUGUUCGCCCAUUAAAGCGGUACGCGAGCUGGGUUCAGAACGUCGUGAGACAGUUCGGUCCCUAUCCGUCGUGGGCGUAGGAAAUUUGAGAGGAGCUGUCCUUAGUACGAGAGGACCGGGAUGGACGCACCGCUGGUGUACCAGUUGUUCUGCCAAGGGCAUAGCUGGGUAGCUAUGUGCGGAAGGGAUAAGUGCUGAAAGCAUCUAAGCAUGAAGCCCCCCUCAAGAUGAGAUUUCCCAUAGCGUAAGCUAGUAAGAUCCCUGAAAGAUGAUCAGGUUGAUAGGUUCGAGGUGGAAGCAUGGUGACAUGUGGAGCUGACGAAUACUAAUAGAUCGAGGACUUAACCAUAUAA